CGUGCAGGCGGGUUGGUAAGUCAGAUGUGAAAGCCCUGGGCUCAACCCAGGAAGUGCAUUUGAAACUGCCAUCCUUGAGUAUGGGAGAGGAGAGUGGAAUUCCCAAUGUAGAGGUGAAAUUCGUAGAUAUUGGGAGAACGGGACCCUGGCGAAGGCGACUCUCUGGACCAAUACUGACGCUGAGACGCGAAAGCGUGGGGAGCAAACA
RNAcentral lists this ribosomal RNA (208 nucleotides) under uncultured bacterium. Its description in RNAcentral is "partial 16S ribosomal RNA". It matches the Rfam family "Bacterial small subunit ribosomal RNA", at positions 568 to 774 of the family's 1533-position model. The record is from RNAcentral.